GAAAUGCGAUAAGUAGUGUGAAUUGCAGAAUUCAGUGAAUCAUCGAAUCUUUGAACGCACAUUGGGCCCGCCAGUAUUCUGGCGGGCAUGCCUGUUCGAGCGUCAUUACAACCCUCAGGCCCCCGGGCCUGGCGUUGGGGAUCGGCGGAAGCCCCCUGCGGGCACAACGCCGUCCCCCAAAUACAGUGGCGGUCCCGCCGCAGCUUCCAUUGCGUAGUAGCUAACACCUCGCAACUGGAGAGCGGCGCGGCCACGCCGUAAAACACCCAACUUCUGAAUGUUGACCUCGAAUCAGGUAGGAAUACCCGCUGAACUUAAGC
RNAcentral lists this unclassified non-coding RNA (320 nucleotides) under plant metagenome. RNAcentral's name for it is "partial contains 5.8S ribosomal RNA, internal transcribed spacer 2, and large subunit ribosomal RNA". The stretch from base 1 to 105 matches the Rfam family "5.8S ribosomal RNA", at positions 50 to 154 of the family's 154-position model. The record is from RNAcentral.